This 2793-nucleotide ribosomal RNA is filed under the name Staphylococcus aureus. RNAcentral's name for it is "23S ribosomal RNA". It matches the Rfam family "Bacterial large subunit ribosomal RNA". Lineage: Bacteria; Bacillati; Bacillota; Bacilli; Caryophanales; Staphylococcaceae. The record is from RNAcentral.
GCAUGAGUUAUGUCAUGUUAUCGAUAUGUGAAUACAUAGCAUAUCAGAAGGCACACCCGGAGAACUGAAACAUCUUAGUACCCGGAGGAAGAGAAAGAAAAUUCGAUUCCCUUAGUAGCGGCGAGCGAAACGGGAAGAGCCCAAACCAACAAGCUUGCUUGUUGGGGUUGUAGGACACUCUAUACGGAGUUACAAAGGACGACAUUAGACGAAUCAUCUGGAAAGAUGAAUCAAAGAAGGUAAUAAUCCUGUAGUCGAAAAUGUUGUCUCUCUUGAGUGGAUCCUGAGUACGACGGAGCACGUGAAAUUCCGUCGGAAUCUGGGAGGACCAUCUCCUAAGGCUAAAUACUCUCUAGUGACCGAUAGUGAACCAGUACCGUGAGGGAAAGGUGAAAAGCACCCCGGAAGGGGAGUGAAAUAGAACCUGAAACCGUGUGCUUACAAGUAGUCAGAGCCCGUUAAUGGGUGAUGGCGUGCCUUUUGUAGAAUGAACCGGCGAGUUACGAUUUGAUGCAAGGUUAAGCAGUAAAUGUGGAGCCGUAGCGAAAGCGAGUCUGAAUAGGGCGUUUAGUAUUUGGUCGUAGACCCGAAACCAGGUGAUCUACCCUUGGUCAGGUUGAAGUUCAGGUAACACUGAAUGGAGGACCGAACCGACUUACGUUGAAAAGUGAGCGGAUGAACUGAGGGUAGCGGAGAAAUUCCAAUCGAACCUGGAGAUAGCUGGUUCUCUCCGAAAUAGCUUUAGGGCUAGCCUCAAGUGAUGAUUAUUGGAGGUAGAGCACUGUUUGGACGAGGGGCCCCUCUCGGGUUACCGAAUUCAGACAAACUCCGAAUGCCAAUUAAUUUAACUUGGGAGUCAGAACAUGGGUGAUAAGGUCCGUGUUCGAAAGGGAAACAGCCCAGACCACCAGCUAAGGUCCCAAAAUAUAUGUUAAGUGGAAAAGGAUGUGGCGUUGCCCAGACAACUAGGAUGUUGGCUUAGAAGCAGCCAUCAUUUAAAGAGUGCGUAAUAGCUCACUAGUCGAGUGACACUGCGCCGAAAAUGUACCGGGGCUAAACAUAUUACCGAAGCUGUGGAUUGUCCUUUGGACAAUGGUAGGAGAGCGUUCUAAGGGCGUUGAAGCAUGAUCGCAAGGACAUGUGGAGCGCUUAGAAGUGAGAAUGCCGGUGUGAGUAGCGAAAGACGGGUGAGAAUCCCGUCCACCGAUUGACUAAGGUUUCCAGAGGAAGGCUCGUCCGCUCUGGGUUAGUCGGGUCCUAAGCUGAGGCCGACAGGCGUAGGCGAUGGAUAACAGGUUGAUAUUCCUGUACCACCUAUAAUCGUUUUAAUCGAUGGGGGGACGCAGUAGGAUAGGCGAAGCGUGCGAUUGGAUUGCACGUCUAAGCAGUAAGGCUGAGUAUUAGGCAAAUCCGGUACUCGUUAAGGCUGAGCUGUGAUGGGGAGAAGACAUUGUGUCUUCGAGUCGUUGAUUUCACACUGCCGAGAAAAGCCUCUAGAUAGAAAAUAGGUGCCCGUACCGCAAACCGACACAGGUAGUCAAGAUGAGAAUUCUAAGGUGAGCGAGCGAACUCUCGUUAAGGAACUCGGCAAAAUGACCCCGUAACUUCGGGAGAAGGGGUGCUCUUUAGGGUUAACGCCCAGAAGAGCCGCAGUGAAUAGGCCCAAGCGACUGUUUAUCAAAAACACAGGUCUCUGCUAAACCGUAAGGUGAUGUAUAGGGGCUGACGCCUGCCCGGUGCUGGAAGGUUAAGAGGAGUGGUUAGCUUCUGCGAAGCUACGAAUCGAAGCCCCAGUAAACGGCGGCCGUAACUAUAACGGUCCUAAGGUAGCGAAAUUCCUUGUCGGGUAAGUUCCGACCCGCACGAAAGGCGUAACGAUUUGGGCACUGUCUCAACGAGAGACUCGGUGAAAUCAUAGUACCUGUGAAGAUGCAGGUUACCCGCGACAGGACGGAAAGACCCCGUGGAGCUUUACUGUAGCCUGAUAUUGAAAUUCGGCACAGCUUGUACAGGAUAGGUAGGAGCCUUUGAAACGUGAGCGCUAGCUUACGUGGAGGCGCUGGUGGGAUACUACCCUAGCUGUGUUGGCUUUCUAACCCGCACCACUUAUCGUGGUGGGAGACAGUGUCAGGCGGGCAGUUUGACUGGGGCGGUCGCCUCCUAAAAGGUAACGGAGGCGCUCAAAGGUUCCCUCAGAAUGGUUGGAAAUCAUUCAUAGAGUGUAAAGGCAUAAGGGAGCUUGACUGCGAGACCUACAAGUCGAGCAGGGUCGAAAGACGGACUUAGUGAUCCGGUGGUUCCGCAUGGAAGGGCCAUCGCUCAACGGAUAAAAGCUACCCCGGGGAUAACAGGCUUAUCUCCCCCAAGAGUUCACAUCGACGGGGAGGUUUGGCACCUCGAUGUCGGCUCAUCGCAUCCUGGGGCUGUAGUCGGUCCCAAGGGUUGGGCUGUUCGCCCAUUAAAGCGGUACGCGAGCUGGGUUCAGAACGUCGUGAGACAGUUCGGUCCCUAUCCGUCGUGGGCGUAGGAAAUUUGAGAGGAGCUGUCCUUAGUACGAGAGGACCGGGAUGGACAUACCUCUGGUGUACCAGUUGUCGUGCCAACGGCAUAGCUGGGUAGCUAUGUGUGGACGGGAUAAGUGCUGAAAGCAUCUAAGCAUGAAGCCCCCCUCAAGAUGAGAUUUCCCAACUUCGGUUAUAAGAUCCCUCAAAGAUGAUGAGGUUAAUAGGUUCGAGGUGGAAGCAUGGUGACAUGUGGAGCUGACGAAUACUAAUCGAUCGAAGACUUAAUCAA